AUUGAACGCUGGCGGCAGGCCUAACACAUGCAAGUCGAACGAGUGGCGGACGGGUGAGUAAUGUAUGGGAAACUGCCUGAUAGCGGGGGAUAACUACUGGAAACGGUAGCUAAUACCGCAUACUAUAAGAUGUGCCCAGAUGGGAUUAGCUAGUUGGUGGGGUAACGGCUCACCAAGGCGACGAUCCCUAGCUGGUCUGAGAGGAUGACCAGCCACACUGGAACGGAGACACGGCCCAGACUCCUACGGGAGGCAGCAGUGGGGAAUAUUGCACAAUGGGCGAAAGCCUGAUGCAGCCAUGCCGCGUGUAUGAUGAAGGCCUUCGGGUUGGAAAGUACUUUCAGCGGGGAGGCGUUACCCGCAGAAGAAGCACCGGCUAACUCCGUGCCAGCAGCCGCGGUAAUUC
RNAcentral lists this ribosomal RNA (406 nucleotides) under uncultured bacterium. Its description in RNAcentral is "partial 16S ribosomal RNA". It matches the Rfam family "Bacterial small subunit ribosomal RNA", at positions 30 to 526 of the family's 1533-position model. The record is from RNAcentral.